GGCUGGUCGGAAAGUAGUGAGUUAUCACAAUUGAUUUUUUACAGUCAGUUACAGAUCAAACUCCAUGUACUACUCCUCCCCCACUCCACCCCCACUUCUCACUACUGCACUUGGUUAGUCUUUA
This is a Y RNA of Callithrix jacchus (white-tufted-ear marmoset), 124 nucleotides long. It matches the Rfam family "Y RNA". Rfam says of the family: Y RNAs are components of the Ro ribonucleoprotein particle (Ro RNP), in association with Ro60 and La proteins. The Y RNAs and Ro60 and La proteins are well conserved, but the function of the Ro RNP is not known. The record is from Ensembl. NCBI's taxonomy places the organism in Eukaryota, Metazoa, Chordata, Mammalia, Primates, Cebidae.